Molecule: ribosomal RNA, 302 nt
Filed under: uncultured bacterium
Lineage: Bacteria
Description: partial 16S ribosomal RNA
Rfam family: Bacterial small subunit ribosomal RNA
Source: RNAcentral
GCAGUAGCCACGGUAAUACAGAGGGUGCGAGCGUUAAUCGGAUUUACUGGGCGUAAAGCGUGCGUAGGCGGCUUCUUAAGUCGGAUGUGAAAUCCCUGAGCUUAACUUAGGAAUUGCAUUCGAUACUGGGAAGCUAGAGUAUGGGAGAGGAUGGUAGAAUUCCAGGUGUAGCGGUGAAAUGCGUAGAGAUCUGGAGGAAUACCGAUGGCGAAGGCAGCCAUCUGGCCUAAUACUGACGCUGAGGUACGAAAGCAUGGGGAGCAAACAGGAUUAGAGACCCGGGUAGUCCCUGUCUCUUAUAC